This is a non-coding RNA of Macaca mulatta (Rhesus monkey), 72 nucleotides long. The record is from Rfam. Lineage: Eukaryota; Metazoa; Chordata; Mammalia; Primates; Cercopithecidae.
GGUAGUGUAGUCUACUGGUUAAAUGCUUGGGCUCUGACAUUAACGUCCUGGGUUCAAAUCCCAGCUUUGUCA